AAUCAUAUGCUUGUCUCAAAG
RNAcentral lists this ribosomal RNA (21 nucleotides) under Monodonta labio. Its description in RNAcentral is "18S ribosomal RNA". Lineage: Eukaryota; Metazoa; Mollusca; Gastropoda; Trochida; Trochidae. The record is from RNAcentral.